AACGAACGCUGGCGGCAUGCCUAACACAUGCAAGUCGAACGAGACCUUCGGGUCUAGUGGCGCACGGGUGCGUAACGCGUGGGAACCUGCCCUUAGGUUCGGAAUAACUCCCCGAAAGGGGUGCUAAUACCGGAUAAUGUCUUCGGACCAAAGAUUUAUCGCCUUUGGAUGGGCCCGCGUUGGAUUAGCUAGUUGGUAGGGUAAAAGCCUACCAAGGCGACGCUCCAUAGCUGGUCUGAGAGGAUGAUCAGCCACACUGGGACUGAGACACGGCCCAGACUACUACGGGAGGCAGCAGUGGGGAAUAUUGGACAAUGGGCGAAAGCCUGAUCCAGCAAUGCCGCGUGAGUGAUGAAGGCCUUAGGGUUGUAAAGCUCUUUUACCCGGGAUGAUAAUGACAGUACCGGGAGAAUAAGCUCCGGCUAACUCCGUG
Molecule: ribosomal RNA, 433 nt
Filed under: uncultured bacterium
Lineage: Bacteria
Description: partial 16S ribosomal RNA
Rfam family: Bacterial small subunit ribosomal RNA
Source: RNAcentral